CGACAAGCCCAUGACCCAGAGGGCCCUGUUGGUGCUGAUGGUGGUGAGCGCCGCGGUGCUGGUGUAUUUUGUGAUCAGAACCAUUAGGCCAAUCUCAAUCUCAAGAACUAUCAUUUUAUGAGAUAAACAACAAGGGUGAAAAUAUCCAAUUCUCAGAAUCAUCAAUCAAACAGAAAUGCAGAAGGCAGCCAGGGAACUCAGGUGCACUUGGAAUGAGAAGAAGAAAUAGAAAGACACGAAGAUAUGGAGUUUUGGACACAAAUCUAGAAAAUAUGGAAUUAACACCUUUAGAACAAGAUGAUGAUGACGACGAUACAACUCUGUUUGAUGCCAAUCAUCCCCGAAGAUAAGAAUGUGCCUUUUAAUGAGAAAACUUCAUUGGUGAACAUCAAAGGAAGAAGUUUAUGAUUAAGGAAUAAGAAGCCAAUAUCAGUCACAGCAUGGGGGGUAUUUAAGUUAUGUAUAUUAUGACCUUUAAUUUGUUGUUGAAAUAUAUACUGUAUCAGUUGUUGCAUCUUUGUACAUAUAGGAAUGUUCUAUUAAUGAGCUCAAAUCUGAAGAAAAAGAAAUGCAGUAUAAUAGAAAUCUAUUUGAAAAUUACCAUUAAAAUAGGGUGUUUUCAGUUUUGUUUUUUUUACUGCUUACCAUAAUGUGGUGAACAAUAUUCUGUUUAUGUGCUAAUCAGCUAAUAUUAAUUGUUUUGCUGGCAUAAUGUUUUAAGUAAUUAUCAAUUGUAAUUACCCACUGAAGUACAAAUUCUCUUAAUAUUAUUUAAUUUUUUUUCUCCAACAAAAUGUAUUUCCCAUUUUUGGGGGGAAAUGCCAGGUGUAUUGCUUUGUUUUUGAGUAUUUUUUAACUACAUAACUAUAUGAGCUAUUGUAUACAAAGCAAUAAAUGUGAUUUUAAAUUGUUUUAAGUGUUCUUAAAGAAAUACGAAAGACAGUGUCAUUUGAAGAUAAAAGCUUAUUUCCAAAAUA
RNA transcript from Vombatus ursinus (common wombat), 977 nucleotides. It is a transcript of the gene named family with sequence similarity 174 member A, with no coding region annotated. The record is from RefSeq and is a predicted model, not a curated record. Lineage: Eukaryota; Metazoa; Chordata; Mammalia; Diprotodontia; Vombatidae. The transcript is spliced from 4 exons.